Molecule: long non-coding RNA, 1934 nt
Filed under: Helianthus annuus (common sunflower)
Lineage: Eukaryota; Viridiplantae; Streptophyta; Magnoliopsida; Asterales; Asteraceae
Description: hypothetical non coding rna
Source: RNAcentral
UUUACCUUUGUUGCAUAACUACAAACAAAUUUAGAACAUAAAACAACAAAAUUUAAUAAACUCUACUCUCACUAAAUGCACCAACCAACACAAUGAACCAUUUGCAUGUGCAAAAAAUACCACAAUCACCAUCAUCAAUAGUUCAAUAGCGAGUAUUUUACGCGUAGAACGAUCUUCCCUUUAUCUACACCAAGUUUCGCCCCUGUGACUAACCAAUGGCCCGGAACAUCUUGUGGGCCCUUUGACAUUUCCGUCAUGUCUACGAUUUUCGCUAGUUUUCCGGAUUGACUUGGACCAUCUCCUCCCUUAUCAUCUCCGGGUUUUUGAAGAGUGUUUGGGCUAUGAUCCCAUACUGAACGGCGUAUGGUACAACCUGGUACUUUGGAGAAGAGAAGUUUGAGGUGUAGGACACUUCUGGCACCGAAGUCCCAUACGCCAAACUGGGCCCCGGUGACAAUGUGGACCCCGGAGAGAUCGCCAAUGUAUGUCUCGGUGUGUUCUAUGGGUGCCGUACUUACAUGUGAGAAGUUCUUCCACUUGAUGGGUUCGAACCAACGACUGUCCUGCUCUUCGGGACCUUGCCACUUGGGUGCACCGAUGGCCAUGUGCGCAUCCCAAUGAGGUUGGAGGAUUUUUGGAAGCGACACCAAGUGUUGUAAAUGGAUCGCUAGCCUGUUUUGCUUGCUUCCUUCUAAGUUGAGUUUAAGCCCCGUAACUGGUUUACGCCCAACUGUAACCUGUAAACUCAAGGGGUGAAUAGAAAAUUCAUCGAAAAAACUAAUUUUUUGAUACAUAACUAGCGUGUCAAAUAUGAUUACAAAACUUAUAUUAAUUUAAAAGGCAUCUAACUUUUUGAAUCAUAUAAUGUAGGACUUUUGAUGCAAUAAAAAUACACACUGCCAUUUUUUUUUCUAGAGUAAAUUGCAUUUUACCUCCUUUAACUUCGACUCAAAUUACAGGUGCUGUCAUUUAACUAACGAAACUACACUGGAUGUCCUUUAUGUUGUUUCUCAUCAGGCGGUGUCCUUUUGCCCUAACUGAGUUAACUUUUUACGUUAACUCCUAACACGUGCCACUCACAUAUUAAGAGUUAACAGAAAAAACUAGCUGGGUUAGGGUAAAAAGACAUUGCCUAAUGAGAAACAGUAACAUAAGGACAUCCAGUGUAAGUUCGUUAGUUAAAGGACACCGCCUGCAAAUUUACUCUUUCUUCUACUUUAGUCGUUUGAACCGUUAAUCCGAUUCGAUCCAAUCCUAAGUUAAUGGGAGAAUAUUGCUGCUUCAAGAAAUCAUCAAGUAAACAGGCUCAUAAAAUUUAGAAGAAUACCUGCUCCAAACUUAUGAAAAGCUUCGGGCCCAUUAAACUAAACUGAAGUGACGGACAAACGGGUUCCUUUCUUUGAAUGUUACUUUGUUCCGGAGCCCAGACUCGAGGGAUUUGGAACUCCAAAAAAUAUUGUAAAUCCUCUAUAGGAGGCUUGUCUGGAAAACAGAUGAAACGUAUGAGAAUGCAAAGACUAACUGUUCCGGUCCAGGCCAAAUUUCAAAUUUGUACCAUUUCCGUCCCUGACAUUCUUGAAACAUGCCAGUUCCUUCCAAAAACUUAACAUCUGUUAAAACCUGCCGUUUAAUGAAGGCUGAAAAAAAAAGAUGAUUUAUGAUUAUAUAAAUCGUACAAUUCCGUCAUCUGAUUCGAGAAACAUGACAUAAUCUUGUAUAGAAUUGGUUUUCAGGUUCUAAAACCGACAGAAAAAAAAAAAUGAAGCUAUAUGUGAAAACGGAUCAAUUAAAGGCGUAAUGAAAAACAAGCAUAGUGUAUAAUCAGUUUCACUUACCUUGCUAACGAUGCAGGAUCCCAGGAAUACGGAACAGCACGUUUGACUUCGUCAAGCAGAACUAAAUCUGAAUUUUCUAAAUGAACCUCGAAUAACGGA